UAGAUAUAAUCACAAGCUAUAUCCAAAUCUAUUACAAGAUAAACCUAAAAUUGAUUGAAUAUAUUGUUCAGAUCAAGGGCUAGGAAGAUCCUAAAAUCAUAAAAAAUGAUCUUCAUAUCCUAAAAGCCAAAAAAAAUAUCCAGCUGCAAAUCCUAAAAUCCCUAUCUUCACAUUGCAUAUGCUAUAUGCACUGGAAACUCUUCAGAUAUACUGAGGAGGGUUAUUAGUUCCCAAUUAACGAAUAUGGGAGGAGGGUACAGGGACUCCACUUUGCAGGUGUGAAAGAUGGAAUCUGAACGUGUUUACCUCGAUGAGUUGAAUGCUAACAGAAAGGGCUACACAGUGAAGGUUAAGGUCAUAGAAAAGGGCGAGCUAAGGUGUCUCCGAAUAAGGGAGUGUUGUAUCUGUCAAUGCUUCUGGAAGAUGAUAAGUUUCCUCAGGGUAACAAAAUGUGAGGCGCAUUGUUUGGAGAUCAAGCUGAUGGGUACGAGGAUGCAUUUGCAUAUAAGGGAGAGUAUGAGAUAGUUAAUGCACCAAUCAAGGCCAUAGAUGAAAGGUGGAAAAUGAGCCCAGAAGAACUCAACUAUCAAAUGAUCACCGGCCAACAGACUGUGAUCCAACCCGUGGAUGGUGAAGAGGGCAUGUGAUGCCAAACUACCACCAGUGCCUAGCCUCAAUUCCAAGAGAUUUUUAAGUAGAAGCCCCCCUGUCCUUUUGGAAGUAUGUUUAAUUUGGGUAUGUUCGACUUUUGUGAUGGUUUAAAACAGAUGUGAACAAGACAUUGUCAUGUUUGUCAAUCUCGAAUAUGUCUGGAUUGGCUAAAGACGAGUACAAAGCUUGUUUUUAACCGACUAAUCAAGGUUGCAGAUAAGCUUCAAGAGUAUAUUGUUUCUUAUAGCUGUAUUUAUUUUGUAGCUCAUUAGUGAAGUUGACAUUUCAUACAAAUUAGAGUUGUUUUAUGGCUAUGUUAGCUUGAUUUGAUUUGAUUGGCUUGGCCGACCACCCUA
Spinacia oleracea (spinach) is the source of this 1007-nucleotide long non-coding RNA. RefSeq lists it as uncharacterized. NCBI's taxonomy places the organism in Eukaryota, Viridiplantae, Streptophyta, Magnoliopsida, Caryophyllales, Amaranthaceae. The transcript is spliced from 3 exons. The record is from RefSeq and is a predicted model, not a curated record.